UAAAAAGCUCGUAGUUGGAUCUGUGUAUCGGACGGCCGGUUCGCUGUUCGCAGCGUUUAACUGGUCGGUCCGGACGUCCUGCCGGUGGGCGUCCGCGAGAGCGGGCGUCCGUACAUCCCUCCGGGCUGCUCUUAACCGGGUGGCCCGGUGGGCCGGCACGUUUACUUUGAACAAAUUUGAGUGCUCAAAGCAGGCCUUUAGUUGCCUGAAAAUUGUGUGCAUGGAAUAAUGGAAUAGGGCCUCGGUUCUAUUUUGUUGGCUUUUCUGAACUUGAGGUAAUGAUUAAUAGGGACAGACGGGGGCAUUCGUAUUGCGACGUUAGAGGUGAAAUUCUUGGAUCGUCGCAAGACGAACGGAUGCGAAAGCGUUUGCCAAGAAUGUUUUCGCUAAUCAAGAACGAAAGUUAGAGGUUCGAAGGCGAUCAGAUACCGCCCUAGUUCUAACCAUAAACGAUGCCAGCCAGCGAUGCGCCGAAGUUCCUCCGAUGACUCGGCGCGCAGCUUCCGGGAAACCAAAGCUUUUGGGUUCCGGGG
RNAcentral lists this ribosomal RNA (533 nucleotides) under Acentrella gnom. Its description in RNAcentral is "SSU rRNA". It matches the Rfam family "Eukaryotic small subunit ribosomal RNA", at positions 620 to 1119 of the family's 1831-position model. The record is from RNAcentral. Lineage: Eukaryota; Metazoa; Arthropoda; Insecta; Ephemeroptera; Baetidae.